This 508-nucleotide ribosomal RNA is filed under the name uncultured bacterium. Its description in RNAcentral is "partial 16S ribosomal RNA". It matches the Rfam family "Bacterial small subunit ribosomal RNA", at positions 28 to 507 of the family's 1533-position model. The record is from RNAcentral.
GACGAACGCUGGCGGCGUGCCUAAUACAUGCAAGUCGAACGCUUCUUUCCUCCCGAGUGCUUGCACUCAAUUGGAAAGAGGAGUGGCGGACGGGUGAGUAACACGUGGGUAACCUACCCAUCAGAGGGGGAUAACACUUGGAAACAGGUGCUAAUACCGCAUAACAGUUUAUGCCGCAUGGCAUAAGAGUGAAAGGCGCUUUCGGGUGUCGUUGAUGGAUGGACCCGCGGUGCAUUAGCUAGUUGGUGAGGUAACGGCUCACCAAGGCCACGAUGCAUAGCCGACCUGAGAGGGUGAUCGGCCACACUGGGACUGAGACACGGCCCAGACUCCUACGGGAGGCAGCAGUAGGGAAUCUUCGGCAAUGGACGUAAGUCUGACCGAGCAACGCCGCGUGAGUGAAGAAGGUUUUCGGAUCGUAAAACUCUGUUAUUAGAGAAGAACAAGGACGUUAGUAACUGAACGUCCCCUGACGGUAUCUAACCAGAAAGCCACGGCUAACUACGUG